AAUUAGGUUUUUGCUUUUUCCCUCAACUCCUCCCCCAAGUGAAAUUAAGAAGCAGUGGAAAACCCACUUCUCUUUUUACCGUUUAUGGUUAACUUGUUUUGGUUCCUGUCGUGGAUGAGCUAUCUCAAUGCAAUUGGGUUAGAUUUGAAGGCAACGCAUCAAUUUUUGACGCUAUGCUGUUGCAUUCUUUUUGAGAUCCCCAUGAACUAGUUCAUCAACUGUGGUUUUAUGGAGUAGAAGAUUGGUUUUCUCGGUUAUAGAGCUAAGAUAUGGCUCAAAUUGUGGGAGAAAAUCCCUACGAGCGUUUGGAAGCUCCACCAGUACUACCAGUAUAUUUGGUCGAAGAAAUUUCCCAGAAGAUGGUGGAAGAACCUUUUGAUUGCCUGGGUGAUUGGUUGGAUCUUGGUGUCGCUCUGGACCUUCUGGUACAUGAGCUCUCUGGUGACUGAGAGGAGGAAAGAGGCCAUUGCGAGCAUGUGUGAUGAGCGGGCGAGAAUGCUUCAGGACCAGU
Telopea speciosissima is the source of this 511-nucleotide long non-coding RNA. RefSeq lists it as uncharacterized. NCBI's taxonomy places the organism in Eukaryota, Viridiplantae, Streptophyta, Magnoliopsida, Proteales, Proteaceae. The record is from RefSeq and is a predicted model, not a curated record. The transcript has 3 exons.